Molecule: long non-coding RNA, 8056 nt
Filed under: Sarcophilus harrisii (Tasmanian devil)
Lineage: Eukaryota; Metazoa; Chordata; Mammalia; Dasyuromorphia; Dasyuridae
Description: lncRNA (ENSSHAG00000021126.1)
Source: RNAcentral
AGAUGUUUGUUAUCCAGUCUAAGGUUGCAUAAAUCAAAGAUUAAUUCAUUCAGCCAGAUCAUCAUUCAUUAAGCAUUUAUUGAGUACAUACGAUUUACAAGUUAUGCAUAGCCAUUGCCUACCUUAUGUUUACAAUCUAGUUGGGAAAAUGGGAUAUACACACAAAAUAACAUUAGUAGAUAAUAAGAAAGCACUAUAUACUAAUACAAUAAAGUGCUAAAUUAUAUAAUAAAAGCAACUAGAAAAUAACAAUGUCAUAGUAACAAUAAUAGCAUGAAUACAAUGUUUUAUAGUAUAUGAAGCUUUUCCUUCUCUCAAAAUAAUGCUAUAAGAUACAACAGGAUAAUAUAUAAUAAGGUGCUAAUCGUGCAGUACAGGCAUCCUAACAUGAUGUUAGAGAUGCAUCAACAAGGAAACAAUUCUACUCAAAUCAAAAAUUAAACAUUGAUUAAGCAAUAUAGUAGCAUUUAUAUAGCAGAACAAUUUGCUUGGUAGAUUAGACAGAUAGUUCUUUGCCCUCAAGAAGUUUACAAUAAAGAUAUGAUACAAAUGCAAAUAACUAUGAUUUUUUAAAAAGACAGCAAGAAUUGUGAAAGAAGUGAAAACAAAGUGCCAUGUGAGGUACUACGAGGGAAAGAUGUUUUCUCUCAAUUUAACAAACACUGAUUAAGCACCUACUCUGUGCAAUUUAUUAAAUGCCUACUAUGUGCAAUAUUUGAAAGCACCUACUCCGUGCAAUGUUUAUUAUUAAGUACCUACUAUGUGCAAACCAUUAAGCGCAUACUACAUUGCCACAUGCAAAAGCUAGAAAGGAAGGCUUUCUCAACUAUAUUCCAUAUUGAUUAGGCCUUAUUCAGAGGUGAAAAAUUACUUUUUUUGUGUGGGCCUUUAUUUUGAAGAAGCAUGAGAACAUGAGAACAGCACCGGGUUUGUUUGUUUGUUUGUUUUAAAAGAUGAUGGGCCUUGUUUAGUCUGGAGAAGAAAAUGCUGAGGAAUAAUUUGUUCUUGAAAUUGAAAUUUAGGAAGAUGUAUUUCACAAAUCUACAUCUCCAUUUUGAAGAAGAAUAUGAAGGGAACUGGUUUGAGGAUAUUUAGAACAAAAAACAAUGUUAUCAACAAUUAAGUUUGUAAAACAUUGUGAAAAAAGUUUUUCCGAGAGGUUAUAAGGCCUCUUGCCCAAUAAGAUGAAAAAGGACUGGGAUGGUUUAGAUGCUGUCUUCUCCUGAAGUAGGACUAUUUAACAUAGCUGAGCUCAUAGAACUUAGAUCUCGGGAAACUUCAGUUGAACAUUGACAUGCCAAAGUCUCCCAAUUCCAUUUUUCUAGGCUCCCAAUGAAAUGAAUAGUCCCAAAGCAUUCGUUUAUGCCAGUCCAACAAAAUUUUGGAAUUCUCAACACUUGAAUUUUGUCAUCUGUAAAAUGGGGGAGUAUCAAAAAUAAUUCCUGUUAAAUUGAAUUAGGUGAGGUAAAUAUACUUUGUAGCAAAGAAAUGGAAACAACCCACCCAUGCUCGUGAAUCUAAAAAUAUGGCAAAACAAAUCAGUGUUAAUACUAUGCUAAUAAAAUUGAACUAAAACAAAGGUUGCAUUGUGUUGAAAUAAAAGAUGUAUUAUAUCCGGGGAAAAAAUGACUAUAAAGAUGAACACCAUUUAAAGAUUUAUAUGAGAUAAAUACAGGUGAAUUUAGCAGAAGUUUGGGGAAAUGAAAAGAUGGGAGGAAAAAAACAAAAGAUAAACCUGAAUUAAGAUAAUUGAAAACAACAAAAACAAUUCUAGAGGUGAAAGAAUGAAAUAUGCCUCCAAUAUUGUCAUAAGAGAAUGAGGAACUUGUGAGGCUAUUGGAAUUACUGUAACAUUUGAAACAGAUUGUACAAUUUUAACUACUAUUACUACAAAUCAGAUAUUUUUUAUUACUCAAAAAGGAAAAUGAAAAAGAAAAUAGAUAAAUAUUUGAACUAUUCAAAAUUGCUUUUCUUUUCUUUUUUCUUUUUCUUUUUUUUGGAAACAAAGCGGUUUUAAUCACUUGCCCACAGUCACAGAUCUGGUAAGAUCAGCCACAUUGGGACACAGAUUCUCCCGAGUCCUAGGGACUGGUUCUAUGCCAAAACAAUGCAAAUUUUAAAAAAUAUUUGUUAAGCAUUUAUCAUCAACCUGAUCAUUUUAACCAAUGAGUAAGGCAGUGACAUAAAAUUAGAAAGUUAACAGCUUAUUAUAUUUAAGUAUGAAAAGGCAUGGUUCAAUGGGACUAAAAGAAAAAGGCCAAAUUAUAAGAAUGAGAUAAUAGAUAAAUGCCAGAAACUUCAAACAACAAUCAAAAUUAAUGAAGAAAAAAGAGUAAUUAAAGGAAGUAACAUUUAGUGGAAAAUAUCAUAAUGAAAAAUUAAUUCAUAACCUUAAAAAGAUAGGCAACACAAAAAUUUGCUUGAAAAAUGAAGUUGCAAUGAAAGAACUUAGGUAACAGUGAGUUUCCUUCUUAAAGGGUAUCAGGAAAGAGCAACUUCCAUUAGCCUUCAACCCAGUGCUCCUUCACCCUUGCCCUGAGUAAAAAGGAUGCCCUGAGUAACCAACUAUUGGAAAGAAAUCAGGAAUCCUGCCACUGGGAAAUGGCUGACCAAUCUAUAGCCAUACACUGCUGAAAUAGAAAACAUGUCUCCAACACUGGGCUGCAAGGUGAGACAUUACGGGUACAUGGUGGUAUUUAUCCUGUCAGACAGGGUUCCCUUUUCAAUGACUAUUGGAAGAGUGAAUUUCCUUUGCUAUGGGGCUAGGUCAAGAAAUAUCACACAUGGGGCAGAGAACCCUGUAGAGUCCUUGAUGAUAAUGGCAUGGAAGCCCCAUGUAACAGAGAAGUGGGUACAAAUCUGAGGGCCCUAUAGGUGAAGAAUGGCUGACAAGACUUUAUCUCUGCUCUGAGUAUUAUGUGAUUGGAGCAAAAGAGCAACAAGACUAUUGCAUGAGGUAUUGGAGUAUGCAAGAGGAUAGUGAGAUAGCUGAUUAGCAAGUAUCCCUGCUGCUCCAGGUGGGCAGAGAGGUUUACAGGUACAAUGUGGCACCUUCCCCAGCAAUGAAAGGUGGUUUGUGGUUGCAGUGAGUCUACUUGGCUACAGGGUCCCAAAAAGGAACAAUAUCCAUUGGCCUGCAAUACAAUGCUCCUUCAGCUUUGCCCUUGGUGGAAAGAAUGCUCUGAUUGGCCAAGUAUUAGAAAGAAACCAGGGGCCCUGCCUCUGGGAAGUGGCUGUCAACCUACAGCCAUAUAAAACUGAAAUCCUGGCCACUGACCAAUAGAAAGGAAAGACCUGCCCUCUGACUGAAUAUCAAGACCCUCCUUGGUCUCAGAGAGCAAGAUAGCUUGUUGGGCCCCAUCUCUGGGGUCAGAGUGGGGCCCUCUGGGUGAACUGCUGCUUCCCCUGGCAGACCAGGGCAGCAUGGAACUGACUGGUGACCCAACGUCUGGUUUUUUACUGUGGAGCAAAUGCCAGGAGGACUGACAUGAAGCUGGGGUAUGAUGCUCAUUCUAACUUGGUCCCACUGUAAGGCCAGUUCUUACUAGCAAUGGCAAACAAACAGGGACAACCUUCCUAUGGAGAAUAGCAGAUGAAUCCUUAAUCAUACACUGGCAGAAGGCUUGGAAUAGAAAUGCUGAGAAAAGUCUUUUCCUCUAAGUAGAAAUCAUGACCCUGUUUGGUCUCCAGAGAAUAAGUGAGUUUGCAAACCUCAGUGCUUAGGGGUGAGUAUCUAUGAAUGAAAAGGGAUAACUCCCAAGGCAGAGAGGCUCCCAUUUGAACUGGCUCUGCAUUAAGUGAUUUUAAGAUCUAGAAGGCCUAGGAAAGGAGCAAAAGAGGUGGGGGUGGUAUUCCAUAUACAUUAAACCUGAAAGCCAGUAGACUAGAAGCCCUUCCUGCCAGAGAAUGGGUAGGAAAUAGAAACAAGGCCUUUAUCUGUGAUUGGAAGGGCUAACAAAUGAGGGUCUAUGCAGUGGAUUUUGUUUCUCUCUCACUGUGUCUCUUCAAGCUCCAUAGCUGUACCCCUGGGCUGUGAGGUGAGGCACUACGGUGCAUGAUGGAGUUUACCCUGGAACACAGGGUUACCUUGUUGGAUGGCUGUGGAAAUAGUGAAUUUUCUUUGCCAUGGGACUGUCACCGACAAUAUUCCACAUGGCCAAGGAAACCAUAUGGAAUUCCCCUUGAUUAUGGUGGCAUGUAAGCCCCAUAUUACAAAGAAGUGGCUACAAACUGGGGACCCUACAGGAGAAAAAUAAAUGAGAAACCUUUAUCAGUACACUGAGGGACAGAGUAGGAGGCCAAUGAACAGUUUAAGAAAGCCUGCACAGAAAUUAAAAUGGAGAAGAGGAUAUUAGAAAAGGGGGCAAAAGUCAAGUCCCCAUACCUGGGCUAUGAGGUGAGGCAGUCUGGUGUAUCAUAGUAUUUACCCUGGCAGUCAAGGUAACCUUUUUGGAUCAUUGUGGGAAUCGUGCAUUUCUUUGCAAUAGGACUUGGACCAAUAGGAUUCCACAUGGGGCAGAGAACCAUGUGGAAUACCCAUUGGUAAGGAUGGGAUAUCAAGUCCAUAAACCAAAGAAGUAUUACAAACCUGGAACCCUAUGGGGCACAUAUUUAGCCUAUACUGAGGGGAUAGUGUUGGGGACCAAUGUACAGUGUAAGAAAGCCUGUGCAGAAAUCAAGUGCAAGAAUAGUAUAUUAGAAAAGAGAACUAAAGUCAAGUCCCCACCCCUGGGCUGCAAGGUGAGGCACUACAGGUGCAUGAUGGUGUUUACCCUGGGAGACAGGGAAACCUUUUUGGAUCACUGUGGGAAAUGGGCAUUUUCUUUGCUAUGGGACUUGAACCAAUAGGAUUCCACAUGGGGCAGACAACCAUGUGGAAUCCCAAUUAGUAAAGGUGGGAUGUCAACUCCUUAUAACAAAGAAGUGGUUCCAAACUGAGAGCCUAUGGGUGAGAAUGAAUAAGAAACAUUGAGAACAUGCUGAGGGGAUAUUGUUAGAAAACAAUGAACAGAGUAAGAAAGACUGUGCAGAAAUCAAAAGUGAAAACAGGAUAUUAGAAAAGAGAGGUAAAGUCAAGACCCCAUUCCUGGGCUGCGAGGUGAGGCACUACAGAUGUAUCAUGGCAGUCAGGGUAAACUUUUUGGAUCACUAUGGGAAUUGUGCAUUUUCUUUACUAUGGGACUUGGACCAAUAAGAUUCCACAUGGGGCAGAGAACCGUGUGGAAUCCCCAUUGGUAAAGGUGGAAUGUCAAGACUAUAUAAGAAAGAAGUGGUUACAACCAGACCUAUGGGUGAGAAUGAAUGAGAAAUAUUUAGACCACACUGAGGGGCUAAUGUGGAGGUCCAAUGUACAGAAUAAGAAAAAACUUGCAGAAAUCAAGUGGAAGAAAAGCAUAUUAGAAAAGGGAGCUAAAAUGAAGACUCCAUCCCUGGGCUACAAAGUGAGGCACUACAGGUGCAUGAUGGUGUUUACCCUGGAGCACAGGGUUACCUUAUUGGAUGACUGUGGGAAGAGUGAAUUUUCUGUGCCAUAGGGCUGGCUCAAGGAUCAUCACACAUGGGGCAGACAACCAUGUGGAAUACCCCUGAGUACUGUUGGUAUGUCGAACCCAUAUAACAAAGAAGUGGUUACAAACCGGGGGCCCUACGGGAGAAAAAUGAAUGAGAACCCAUUAUCAGGAUACUGAGGGAACAGGGUUGGAAACCAAUGGACAUUUGAAGAAAGCCUAUGCAGAAAUCAAGAGAUAGAAUAGGAUAUUAGAAAAAGGAGCAAAAGUCAAGACCCCACCCCUGGGCUGCGAGGUGAGGCACUACAGGUGCAUGAUGGUGUUUACCCUGGAGCACAGGGUUACCUUAUUGGAUGACUGUGGGAAGAGUGAAUUUUCUGUGCCAUAGGGCUGGCUCAAGGAUCAUCACACAUGGGGCAGACAACCAUGUGGAAUACCCCUGAGUACUGUUGGUAUGUCGAACCCAUAUAACAAAGAAGUGGUUACAAACCGGGGGCCCUACGGGAGAAAAAUGAAUGAGAACCCAUUAUCAGGAUACUGAGGGAACAGGGUUGGAAACCAAUGGACAUUUGAAGAAAGCCUAUGCAGAAAUCAAGAGAUAGAAUAGGAUAUUAGAAAAAGGAGCAAAAGUCAAGACCCCACCCCUGGGCUGCGAGGUGAGGCACUACAGGUGCAUGAUGGUGUUUACCCUGGAGCACAGGGUUACCUUAUUGGAUGACUGUGGGAAGAGUGAAUUUUCUGUGCCAUAGGGCUGGCUCAAGGAUCAUCACACAUGGGGCAGACAACCAUGUGGAAUACCCCUGAGUACUGUUGGUAUGUCGAACCCAUAUAACAAAGAAGUGGUUACAAACCGGGGGCCCUACGGGAGAAAAAUGAAUGAGAACCCAUUAUCAGGAUACUGAGGGAACAGGGUUGGAAACCAAUGGACAUUUGAAGAAAGCCUAUGCAGAAAUCAAGAGAUAGAAUAGGAUAUUAGAAAAAGGAGCAAAAGUCAAGACCCCACCCCUGGGCUGCGAGGUGAGGCACUACAGGUGCAUGAUGGUGUUUACCCUAGAGUACAGGGUUACCUUAUUGGAUGACUGUGGGAAGAGUGAAUUUUCUGUGCCAUAGGGCUGGCUCAAGGAUCAUCACACAUCGGGCAGAGAACAAUGUGGAAUACCCCUGAGUACUGUUGGUAUGUUGAACCCAUAUAACAAAGAAGUGGUUACAAACUGGGAGUCCUACAGGUGGAGAAUGAAUGAGAAAUCUUUACAGGACACUGGGUGUAAAGUGUUGGAUGCUAAUAAGCAUAAUAAUAAAGCCUGUUUUGCUUGAAACCAUACAGGGAAUAGCAAAGAUGCUUGAAAAUUGAGAAGAAAUAAAGACCUUACCUCUGGGCUGUGAAGUGAUGCAUUGUGGGAUGCCUGAUGGACUUUAUCAUGAUAGCAUUCCUUUUUGGAUGACUGUUGGAAUAGUGAAUUUUCUUUCCUAUUAGGCUGAAACCAGUAGCAUUCCACAUGGGACAGACAACCAUGUAGACUCUCCCUUUAUCCUGUUAAAAUGCAAGGCUCUGCCUUCAAGAAGUAAAUUAGUGACUGGUGUUGAAAAAUGGCUGAGAAACCUUUGUACUCUGAGGAUUAAGUGAUUAGGGCAAAAGAACAACAAAAGUUAUUGUUGAGGUAUUACAAUAUGUUAUAUAAAUAGCUAAUUAGAAUCCCUGCAGUCCCAGCUGAGCAGAGAGAUAGGGGAGUCUAGAUGCAGUGUGGCACCUUUUUUCAGAAAUCUCAUGUGGUUUGGGGUUGCAGUGAGUCUUCUUGGCUACAGGGUCUCAACAAGGAGCUACUUCCCUUGAUCUACAAUUCAGUGCUCCUUCACCCUUGCCCUGGAUGGAAAGGAUGCUCUGAUUGGCCAAGUAUUAGAAAGAAACCAGGGGCCCUGCCUCUGGGAAGUAGCUGUCAACCUAUAGUCAUAUAGUGCUGAAAUCCUGGUCACUGACCAAUAGAAAGGAAAGACCUGCCCUCUGACUGAAUAUCAAGACCCUCCUUGGUCUCAGAGAGCAAGAUAGCUUGUUGGGCCCCAUCUCUGGGGUCAGAGUGGGGCCCUCUGGGUGAACUGCUGCUUCCCCUGGCAGACCAGGGCAGCAUGGAACUGACUGGUGGUGACUCAAUGUCUGGUCUUUGCUAUGGGGCCAAUGCCAGGAGGACUGACAUGGAGUUGAGGCACCAUAUUCAUUUUUCUCUGGGUUAAUUGGAUUUUAAUAGAAAGCCCAGAUAAGGAGCAGAGGUGUUGGAGGUGAUUUCUGAUGGCCAUUCGACCUGCAUGCCUUUAGAAUGGAAGCUCUCCAUUCCCAAGAAUGGGUACAUAACCUACCUAUUUUCUUUUCUGUGAUUGGAAUUGCUAACCAACCAGGGUCUGUGCAGAGAAUUUUGUUUCUGUCUGCAUGUGGAGAGGUGGAAAUGUUGUUUAUGCUGUGUGUGUGUGUGCUAGAGAGAGAGAUAGAGAGAGAGAGACAGAGACAGACAGAGAGAGAUAGAGAGACAGAGACAGAGGAGAGGAGAGGAGAGAAGAGG